Molecule: ribosomal RNA, 253 nt
Filed under: uncultured bacterium
Lineage: Bacteria
Description: partial 16S ribosomal RNA
Rfam family: Bacterial small subunit ribosomal RNA
Source: RNAcentral
UACAGAGGUCUCAAGCGUUGUUCGGAUUCAUUGGGCGUAAAGGGUGCGUAGGCGGCGCGGUAAGUCGGGUGUGAAAUCUCGGAGCUUAACUCCGAAACUGCAUUCGAUACUGCCGUGCUUGAGGACUGGAGAGGAGACUGGAAUUUACGGUGUAGCGGUGAAAUGCGUAGAUAUCGUAAGGAAGACCAGUGGCGAAGGCGGGUCUCUGGACAGUUCCUGACGCUGAGGCACGAAAGUCAGGGGAGCAAACGGG